GUGUUUGGCUCAGCUUGGUUAAGUACAUAUUAUGGUUAAUAGUGUUUGAUGAAAUGCUUGUUGCCCUUGUUGUUUGUGAAAUGGACAGUCGCCGAGGAGGAAUUGCUGCAGGGUGAUGUCGUCGCCGAGGGAUGGGAAGAAGGGAAAUAAGACGAUGACAAUUGAUGUGCGCGUUUGCCGGGAAGGCGAGAUUAGUGAGAUCUAGCUACCUCCCAUUUCUUUGUUUGUGAUUCUUGGCCUGGGAUUGGGGAGGGCAAAGGGCUUUGAAUCAUGACCGCGACUCGGCUCAGACCUCUACAAAGAAACUAGAUGAAAAGGAGAGGCAGAGAGAUUCGCCAUGUAUUAUUUAUGUUUUUUGGCUGUAGGGUUCAGCUCGCUAUUUAUUAUUUUAUCUGUAUUCUAUAUUUCUAUUUCUAUAUGCUUGCCUCUAUGUAUGCAGCUGGUCACGAGGGGCUGGAAAUUUUCUUGUGACAUCACUGGGAUGCUCUGGUCCAGACUUGUUUCCGUUGCCUCCAGACUCUUCCUGUACGUGAUAUAGAUAUAGAUGUCAAUAUAUGUAGUAGUAUAUAGUCACGGCAUCAGUAUUAUAAGCAUUCAAAAAUCAAAAACGCUAGGCCUCCUAAAAGGUGACCCGGUCUCAUUCCACAAC
RNAcentral lists this long non-coding RNA (649 nucleotides) under Phoenix dactylifera (date palm). RNAcentral's name for it is "long non-coding RNA (PDAC_LNC004270)". The record is from RNAcentral. Lineage: Eukaryota; Viridiplantae; Streptophyta; Magnoliopsida; Arecales; Arecaceae.